RNAcentral lists this ribosomal RNA (465 nucleotides) under uncultured bacterium. Its description in RNAcentral is "partial 16S ribosomal RNA". It matches the Rfam family "Bacterial small subunit ribosomal RNA", at positions 338 to 795 of the family's 1533-position model. The record is from RNAcentral.
CCUACGGGUGGCAGCAGUAGGGAAUCUUCCACAAUGGACGAAAGUCUGAUGGAGCAACGCCGCGUGAGUGAAGAAGGGUUUCGGCUCGUAAAGCUCUGUUGGUAGUGAAGAAAGCUAUAGGUAUUAACUGGCCUUUAUUUGACGGUACUUGCUUAGAAAGUCCCGGCUAACUCCGUGCCAGCAGCCGCGGUAAUACGUAGGUUGCAAGCGUUGUCCGGAUUUAUUGGGCGUAAAGCGAGUGCAGGCGGUUUAAUAAGUCUGAUGUGAAAGCCUUCGGCGCAACCGGGGAAUUGCAUCAGAAACUGGUGGACUUGAGUGCAGAAGAGGGGGGUGGAAUUCCAUGUGUAGCGGUGGAAUGCGUAGAUAUAUGGAAGAAUACCAGUGGCGAAGGCGGCUCGCUGGACUGCAACUGACGCUGAGGCGCGAAAGCAUGGGGAGCGAACAGGAUUAGAUACCCUUGUAGUC